Silurus meridionalis is the source of this 5497-nucleotide long non-coding RNA. RefSeq lists it as uncharacterized. The record is from RefSeq and is a predicted model, not a curated record. Lineage: Eukaryota; Metazoa; Chordata; Actinopteri; Siluriformes; Siluridae. The transcript is spliced from 3 exons.
UCUAGGGGAGGUUCAUUCCACCACCUCGGUGCCAGACUAGAGAAGAGCCUUUAAGAAUACUUACCGCUUACACUGAGAGAAGGUGGGAUCAGUUUAGCAGUGCUAGGUGAUCUCAGGCAGCGUGGUGCAGUGCGAGGAAUGAUGAGGUCUUUGAGGUAAGAAGGUGCUGGUCCAUUUCAGGCUUUGUAGGCAAGCAUCGGUGUUUUGAAUCUGAUGCAUGCAGCCACCGGAAGCCAGUGGAGGGAGCACAGCAGUGGGGUGCAGGUUCACACAGAUGUGUUUUGGAUCAUUUGCAGUGGACGAAGAGCAUUCAGAGGUAGACCUGCCAAGAUGCUGAAGCUAUACUGGUUUCCAGCUCACUGUACACUAGAAAACGUAUAAAAGUAUUAGCAUUUGUAGUUUGCUAAGUAGCUAAUUAUAAUUAUUAAAAUAAUUCUUCUAAACUGUCAAAUAUUUAACAUAUAUAAAUGUUAAAUGUUACAAUCUUUGUGGUAAAACCUAUAAAUCCUUACAAAUAAAAUUCCGUAAUGUGAAGUAUUUUUUCAGAAACUGUCACCAAGAAACAGCAUUUGACACUCACAGAGAAGAUUUUUAAGGAAAUGGAUGAAAUUUCACUAGUUAAUUUUUAAUGAUUAUUUGAGAUUCCAAAAAUCAGGUUGACCCCCUUCAUGUAUUCUAUUUAAUUUUUAGACUUUUUUAUUCCUAAGAACAAAAUCAAAUGUAUAUUAUACAGAAAGCAAACAAAAAAAAUUAAAAUGACGAUAUACUAAAAACACAGAAAAAUAUCCCAUGAUUUUAAUACAGUAUAUAGAUUUACAGGUUUACAGAUUUACAGCAUUGUUUAGCUAUUCAUUGGAGCUCAGCCAGUGUCUCAUUCCUUACCAAAGACAGCACUAGAAGUGACACCUGUUACCAGCCCCUUGGAACAAAGGGAGAGUGCUUUCCUUCUAUACAGCAUCUAUUCUUCAAAAAAGCUAUAUGGAGCUGUGCCUGUUAUUGGCUUUGGUGCUGUUGAUUAAAUGCAUGAUGCAUAUGUAAGACAAAUGCAUAUUUUAUUACAUUUUACCUUAUUGCUCAGUUUAUUGACUAAAUCUGAUUAGGUCUUUUGGUAAAUGAAAAGAAGAAACACCUUUGUCUAGUGACCUCUUGACUCCUUUUACUUUACUUGAAAAGGCAAGGAGGUUCCUUUGGGCCUUUUUUGCUAAGAGAUCUAAGCACAUGGUCCCUGACAAAGCACCCCCACUCAGCUUCCACCUUUCAAAAGCAUCUUCCUCCAGCCUCUUCAUCUCUCCCUAAAUAAGGAGAACAAGUAAGAAGAAUGUUGAGUACUAGUACAAACCAGUGUAUUAUGCUUAGUUAAUCAUUUAAAAUAAAAGCAGUGAGUAGAUGAAAAGUAUUUGCCAAAUAUGACAUUAAAAUAAAGAAGAAUGAAGGUCAACAUAGUUAAUUAAUCUAAGUAAUACUCAUUUCAUGCUUUUGAAUAAAAUACUUUUUAACAGGUUCUGCUUACGACUGAUUCAGAAUAUAGGAUUUAGAUUUGGAUUUCAGGACUUCAGAUUUGUGAUCUUAUUUGUGAUCAAGGAGAAAAGCAAGAUCUCAAGACAACCUGUGUCUUGAAAAUAAAGGGUAACAAAAGAAAAAAAGAUGCUAAUAUCGAUAAUGAAGUAUGGUGAUGGCUGCUUGGAUUCCAACACCAAGUUUAGAUCAUAAAUCAACAAGCACUUAUACUUAACAAUUUAAUAAAAUCUAAAUAAAGACACUACAUUUGCCCAAAAUAGCAAAGUGGUAGACUCUCAAAUUGCAUGAUUUGGUUUGAGACUAUGUCAUUAGUUAUGUUUCUCUGCCCUAACAAAAUAAUUAACAAAGUCAAUCAUAAUUUUAGUUUAUUAAUUCAUAUUUUGGGAUGACAAGUGUGUCUACUUGGAAUGAAAGCAAAUGGCCUCAUUACUCUAUUAGCACAUAGGGCCAUGAGCACUGCAGCCCAGCUGUUCCUGACUCACUGGUGUCUGCCUUUCAGGGAAAUUUUACCCCAUCCACAGCCGCCCAAGAUGUGUUUGUACAGACUGAAUCUGUGUGUGGUGGGUGGAUGACUUGGGAGACCAAUAUAAUAUCCGCAGUUUGUGAUAAGUCACAUCUGCAGCAUCUGCCAGUGGGUGGGCAGCCUUAUGCCAGAUCCCUACAUGGUCAGCUGUUGCUUCACAAUGGCCGCUCCAUCACAAGCCAAUGUGAACCAUCUCUGUUUGGGGCACAGUAAGAAGACACAUGUCCUUUUUAGGGAUGUGAAAAGCUAAACAUGUGGCUGCAUGCAUGAGCUAAAUGUCACAGAAGAUGCUGUUAAGCAUUAGGCUUCUGAGAGAAAGUGCAGAUCUCGUGAAUAAGUGUGCUGGAAUUCAGCAGAGGAUGAGAACAGUAACAGCAGAAAAGGAAGGAUUUACCUGUCAUUGUGAAAGACUUCAUUUAAAGUAUUUCAUGAAGAUGGAUAAGACGCAUUGAAGCAUGUGAAUAUUUCAGCUCAUCCAUCCGGGGACCCAACAGCAAAAUAAGAUCCAGCUGUUUCCAUGGAGAUGCUUGUGGGUUUGCUAGUGUGUGCCCACUUUUUCUAAUGAGUUCUGAGGAGGCAGUGUCUCCUAAGAGCCAACUGGUGGCAAACCCUUUGAGCUAAUAGUCUUCAGAAACUUCUUAAUUAAUGCAGUUGUGGAAUACAGCAUACCUGUUUGCAUUAAGACACCACAUCACUAGCCUUCCACCUCAUUCACUACCCUUUUUUUUAAAGAUAAAGAAUUGUAAGGGUAAAUUUAAAAAGUUACAAAGUUGAAUGAUAGUGUAGAGAAUACAGGUACAUUGUCAUAGCACCACAGGUUCCUACAUGUUUAAAUAUUUUGAGAGAUGCUAAAGAAUCAUGAUCUAAAGUGAUCAGAUACAAAUGUAAACACAAGGGGAGGCUUAUUGUGUGUCAGAGAAAUGUGUUAUAUAAAAGUAAAGUAAAAGUAAAAGUAAAAACACUAGAAAUGGACAUUAGAUCAGUGGUAAACAAUCCAUUUGUCUGAUUAAUCCAAAUUUUAGAUUUUUUGUACUAACCACUGUGUGUUUGUUAGACAUAAAGAGGGUGAACGAACAGUUCCUGAAUGUGUGGUUCCCACUGUGAAGCAUUGUGGAGGAGGUAUGAUGAUGUCGAGGUGCUUUGCUGGUGACACUGUUGGUGAUUUAGUCAAAAUUGAGGGUGCACUUACCCAGUGCUGCUACCACACCAUGUGUGUGUGUCUGUGUUUGUGUAUGUAUGUGUGUGUGUGUUUGUGUGUGUGUGUGUGUGUGUUUAAACAUUGCAUAUCAGUCUUUAAUUUUCAAACUAUCUACAAAAAGCACAGACUCUGUACAGAUGUGUAAUUCUCUAAUCCAGCUGUGGCUGUUUAUGCUGCAACUAUCUGGUUGAUCCAUGCAUCAUGAACAACAAUAACAACCAUUCUUUCAUUUGCAGUUUGUCUCUAAAUCUAAAGGUAGACAAGUCAGAUAAUAUUGUUACUAUACAAUCUUUUGAUAAAGGUAGUCAAAGAAUCUCUGUGUUCAGUUAUUUAUCAAAUGUGAGAUCAGUCAUAUAUAUACAGUAUAUGGCUACAUUUCUUUUUCUGCAAGGCAACUCUAAACUAACAUCAGCUUAAACUGCUGAGCAUGUAUAGAUAUGACACAAAGGAACUUCCACUUUUUUUUUUGCAAUGUAUUUCUCUUUCUAAAGCUGUAAUUUUAAAGCUUUGCCUUUUAUGGAAUUUUAUGGGCAUCUCUGAAUGCAAAUGACUUGUGUCAUCUACAAGCUCUGUGAUUAAUUUGCACGUUUGCCAUUCUUCAACAAAUGCAUUCAAGCAUUUCUGAAACUUGUAUAUCCAUGUACAAUUCUAAAAAAUAUAUAUAUUUUAAAUCAGUUUGGUGGCUCAAGCAUUUACACACAGCUUUACUAAACAUUUUCUUUUUAAAUUAAGCAUGUCCACCAUGGGAAUUUCUUUUGUGUCUUAAAUAAUUACUUAUGCUAUCUUAUUUAUACUUCAAACCAAGGAGAGAUAAUAGCUAAUUUCUUUUCAACAGUAAUGGCACUUGGCUACAGACAGCACUGACUCUGUACAGAUGUAGAAUUUUCAGAUCCAGCUGAGGCUCCAGAUGCUGCACCUAUCUGUUUAGUUCACCAAAAGCGUGACUGUAUUUAAAAAGCAUCUUGAGGAAUCCAAAACCAGACGUGCAGUGAUCAUUUAAGACUGAGUGGUGCAGUCCGGCACAUAGGUGAACUGAGGACACACUGGCAAUGGAUCAGCAGGAGAAAAGAGAGACGGAGAGAACUGAAGGAAGAAAUAUGGACAGCGGAAGACAGACAUUGCACUAGGAUUCAAUCUGUGACAGAAAAAUGUGGCACCCCCUCAUUAGAAACUAUAAACCCACAAAGGCUGAGAAUAGAAAGUGACUUCUACAUUACUCAACUGCUUCAAAAAGAAAUAUAUUCCAGCUUUGGAUUUAACUCCACAACAAAGCGAAGAUGAAGAUUUUAAAUUCACAUUUGGACCAUGAUGUAUCAACUUUACCUUAGAUAGUAAUUUUUAGUCAUUACCUAGAACAUUUUAUGGGUGGGGUAGGUGGCAUGUGUUCAUUUUGCAUUAAUGUCAGAUACACUUUAUGAACAAAAGAUUGUAGACACCUGAUGUAUUUGCUUUUUGAACAUCCCAUAACACAUUUAGUUCCAUUAGCUGUUAUAAUAAAACCUACUCUUCUGGGAAGAACUUCCACUAGAUUUUGGAGUGUGUUUACUUAAUACUUCCCUGACCUAACAUUCCUGCUAACAUAAGUAUCAUCAUUUUUUUAACAUAGUGAUUUUUAUUAUGACUUUAGAUUAAAAGAUAUCUACAGUUGAAAAAAAAGCCUUCACACCCCUGUUAAGAUGGCAGGUUUUUUUGCUGUUGAAAAAAUUAUAAGUCAAGUCAAGUCAAGACAAGUUUAUUUCUAUAGCACUUUUCACAACAGACAUUGUCUCAAAGCAGCUUUACAGAAACUAUAACACUAAAAAAUAAGUUUGCCACAAAAACAAGAUAACGUAAGAUCAACAUACACAUGGUGAUGGCAGCAUCAUAUGAGGUUGCUUCUGUUCAGCAGCAAGAUAGGAUCAUGCAGAGCUCAAAUAAUAAUUAGAAUAAUCUAAUUUGGUACAGAAACUUGCAAAAACUCUUUAAGAUAAGGAAAUUAUUAUUAUUAUUAUUUAAUUUUUUUUCCAGAACAAUGAAGGUCGAUGUUAUGGAAUGAUUCAGUUAGAGCUUAAAUCUAAAGCCUGCUGAAAACCUGGGGAAUGAGUACUGUGCACAGGCGGGUCCUUUAAAAAAGUAUGGUAGAUUGUACACAUACAUACAUAUACCGUAAUUUCCGGUAUUAUUUUCCGCACCCAAAUAUUUUCCGCACCCAAAUAUAAGCCGCACCCACUGAAUUUUACAAAGAUUUUUAUUUUGAACAUAAAUAUGCCACACCUGUC